CGACCUUGCGUCGACGAGGGGUCCUUUAAAUGUCUGCCCUAUAAACUUUUGAUGGUAGGUAACCUGUCUUAUAUGGGGUAAACGGAUAACGGGGAAUCCGGGUUCGAUUCCGGAGAGGGAGCCUGAGAAACAGCUACAACUUCCAAGGAAGGCAGCAGGCGCACAAAUUACCCACUCACAGUAUGGGGAGAUGGUGACGAAAAAAUACCCAUGCACGACUCUUAUUGAGGCUCCUUAAUCGUAAUGAGUGAACUCUAAAUCAUUUCACGAGGAUCAAUUGGACGGCAAGUCUGGUGCCAGCAGCCGUGGUAUCUCCAGCUCCAAUAGCGUAUAUUAAAUUUGCUGCAGUUAAAAAGCUCGUAAUUGGAUCUCGGUAUCACUGUCGCCUGCCAGUUCUCGGCUGAUUGGUUCGGUGAAGGUGGGACCUUGCAUCGCUCGGUGCCCCUUACCCAGGGAUGGUUAUGAUCGAGUUGGCCUGGCGGUGGUUUCACAUUUCAGCCAUGUCUGUGGUAAAAUACCCGCAGGUGUAGGCGAGUGUAAGGCAGUGUUCUGUGACAGCUUGGUCUGUCGGCUCGUCUGCAUGCCCUAAGAAAGAUGUCUCUGGGCGGAUGGCAAGUUUACUUUGAACAAAUGUGAGUGCUCAAACCAGGCCGAUGUGGCCUGAAACGUUUUGAAUGGAAAAAUGGAAUAGAACUUCGGUUCUAUUUCGUUUGUUUUCGAAUCAGAAUUAGGGAUCAAAAUGGACAGGCCGGGACGUUUUUAUGGUUGCGCUAGAGGUGAAAUAAAUCGACCGUGACCAGACAGACUAAAGCGAAAGCAUUCGUCAGGCAUGUUUUUAUUGGCCAUGAGCGAAAGUCAGAGGCUCGAAGACGAUCAGAUACCGUCCUAGUUCU
RNAcentral lists this non-coding RNA (893 nucleotides) under Schistocephalus solidus. RNAcentral's name for it is "Eukaryotic small subunit ribosomal RNA". It matches the Rfam family "Eukaryotic small subunit ribosomal RNA", at positions 274 to 1027 of the family's 1831-position model. Lineage: Eukaryota; Metazoa; Platyhelminthes; Cestoda; Diphyllobothriidea; Diphyllobothriidae. The record is from Rfam by way of RNAcentral.